This is a non-coding RNA of Paramuricea clavata, 352 nucleotides long. Lineage: Eukaryota; Metazoa; Cnidaria; Anthozoa; Malacalcyonacea; Plexauridae. The record is from the annotation of a GenBank genome assembly.
UGGCUAUCAUUAAUGGUUUCAUUCAACCUCUAAGUUCGUUAGUUUAUGGUGAACUCACCGAUGAUUUGAUGAUUCCUCCAAGUGGUGGUAACAAGACUGCGGAUCAGGGGAAUGGAACAGCUAAUUACACAAUGAACCAGAACUUAACUAAAACCAACUUUAAUCCAUCCGGGAUAUCGCAGGUAUGAAUGCACCUUCCUAUAGGUACCGGUCGUGUAGAGCAUAGAGCUUUUAAUGGAGGAAAAUAACGCUCUCUGAUUGACUAAAUUUCGUUGUCCGGAUGUAAAUUCUCAUUCCCAGAUGCAAAAGCGCGAUGUUUAUAUAGGAGGAGAUUGGAGGAGCGGGAAAUUAC